AGAGAGAAGGACUACAGAACUGAUUACAGAGACUUUGACAACAGGUAAGAAUGUAUGUGUCUCUUAUCUACUCUACAAGUUGAGCGACAAAUUAAGAAUUGUUUUCAAAGGCAACUGAUUUGGGUGUUGUUGUUAUCUUGUUUCCCUCUUAUAGUUUAAGUUUUACCUAUUUUUUCGGUUGUGACCUGGAUUAGUUUUCUCUAAAUCAGUUUAUGACUUUUCAACAACGGUAUUAUACCGUUGCUUCUAUUUACAUGGACUUUCGCACUUGACUGUUGUUAAUUGGCCAACCUUGUAAGCAACAACUAAAUAGUUUUAUGACUUCAAAGACAUGAACACUAUCCACGAAAAUGAAUAGAGGUAAAAAAAAACACUGUAGUACUAUUUCUUAACUUUAAAAUUGGUACAGAAAUAAUACCAAAUAAAGGCAACAGUAGUAUACCGCUGUUCAAAACUCAUAAAUCCAUGGACAAAAAACAAAAUCGGGGUAACAAACUAAAACUGAGGGAAAAGCGAUCACAAUAUUCCAUGUUUGAAAAUUAUUACUUUAAGAUAUUUGAAACUGUAGCAAUGACAAGAGAGAAAACAACUGAUGUUGACAGUAUGUUUGAUUUUAAUAUUAUUUGGCCUCCAGUCACAAUUAUUUUUAUUAUUGGUUACAAUGGGUUUUUUUUUUGUAAAAACACUUUUCAAACACUUUUAGACCAUUAUCAUACUAACAAAAUAUGCAUAUCGAUUUAUGAAUUAAAAACUGCGGGGAAAAACGAUUUAAACCCCCUGUUACCUUUAUAUCCUACAUCUGCAUAUUCUAUUCAAAUUCAUUUUUGAAAUUGAUGUGUGCUUGACUCCUUCAUCGUCUUUGCACAUACAACUAGCGUGAAUGCUAACGUUAACAAUGUCAUUGAUAUCAGCGUAUUACUGCAAUAGAGCUGCAUUAUUCACGUAUCUGGAUACGUGCACAGAUUGACGUAUCGGGUAGAUUUGUAUUAAAUAAAGAAUUAACCUUAAUUGGAACUGAAUUAAAAUUAACUGCAUUAUAAAAUAUCUUCUAAGAAUCCAAUUUAAUCUAUUCUUUUUAAAUUUACGUGUUAUACGAUACUUCGAUUUGAUACGAAAGCAAAUACGUGAAUAAUGAAAGUGGUCUAUUAAUAGUUUCCCAAAUACUUGCAUAGCGUGCGUAAAAUGUCCUGUACCAAGUCAGGAAAAUGGCCAUUGUUAUAUUAUAGUUCGUAUCUGUGUGUGUUACAUUUAAAUGUUGUGUUUCUGUUGUGUCGUUGUUCUCCUCUUAUAUUUGAUGCGUUUCCCUCAAUUUAAGUUUGUAACCCGGAUUUGUUUUUUUCUGAAUCGAUUUAUGAUUAUAUUUUAUAUUCGAUUUCGAACAGCGGUAAACUACUGUUGCCUUUAUUUAAACCUGUAAGCAGGGUUCCAAGCCCUCCCUCUAACCUGGGACAGUUGUGUAACAUAACAACAUAAAAUUCAACUAUAAAAAUCAAUUGAAAAAGGCUUAACUCAUCAAAUUGAUACAAAUAGAAGUACAUCUAACAAAAACACAGAGUAAACGUGGCAGGGAACUUGUAUAUAAAAAAAACCAGUAAGUACUUACUGCUAGUUCAAAUCCAGAAACAAUUAAUAAAAAUAAAAGUCAUGAAUCUAAGACUAAAUUAUCAAUCAGAACACAUCAAUAUUCAAUGGAUUUAGUAUAACGACGUCAUAAACAGUCAAAGAAAAACACGACCUUGUGCAAUGUCAAGAUACAGGUAUCGACAGAUUUUAGAUUCAUAAAUGUGUAUAUGUAUACAACAAUAAUAUUUGAUUUGCAACUAAAUUACUGAUAACAUAAUCAGUAUUAAUACCAAUUAAAACAAUAUUAAAUGAUCUAAUUACAGUGUUGUAUUGGUAACCUUUGAGAAUAAGUUUGUUUAAAGGAUCGAUAGGUUUACCGGGACCGAUUUUAAAUUUCCUGCCACGGUAAACAACGUUUCCGUAAAAAUGAGGAAUUGCUAUCCUUUUUGAAUUAAGCUUCAUAUCCGACUGAGAAACACACAAAAAAAAAUUUCAGCCAGAAGUAUCUCCUACUAGACUUCAUUUUCAAAUUGACUAUGUUUGCUAUUUUCUUUUAAUACUGUUUAUACUAUUUUUUGACGAAAGUAUGUGUUAUGAAUAAUGUUGUACCAUACAUUUAUCUCAGUCUAAUGUAUGUAUUGUUUUAAGGAAACAACAGCAGUAAAACUGUAGAGAACAUCGAUCCAGGUAAGGCGGAAACAGUCACAAACUCGGGUAUAUUAAUCAAUUAAUCAAGCAAAUAAGCAAAUGCACAACCAAAAACAUCAAGUGAACAACAACUGCAUUGCCUAAAGAAAAACGAUGACAGAAACAAACACUGCACAAAAAUGACACGACUGAUUCAGUGGUAGAAUCUAUAUUUAUCUGGUUUAAUGUGGUACCAAAGACCUUGAAUAAAAUUAAUUUGACUCGUUUAAUUUUAAUGAAAUUUUGACAAAAUAUUAAUUUGACCCUUUGACAAAAAUAUGAAAUUUGAAAAAAAAACUUGAGCCACAAAUUUUUCCCAGAAAAAUUUAGGUGGAUAUAUAGCAGUUUGACAAACGCUAAUUUUGAUCAUUGAGAAGCUUCAUAUUCCUUGUACUAUAGAACGUGAUUCAAACAUUCAGCCGAUUUUUCAGAGUUAUUUCUCUGUAGUAGUAUGUAGCACCUUAAGUAUAUAAUUUACCACUUUAAGGGAUACACAGCCAACUAAAUGUGGAGAACACCGAUUCAAGUGAAGUGAUUGAUUGAUUGUUGGUUGAUUUACGCCUCAUUAGCACAAAAAGGCUAUAUCGCGGCGAUCAGGUGAAGUGGAAAUAGUCACAAACUCGAGUAUAAUUAAUCAGUUUAUUCAAACAUUUUACACUCCUUCAUAUCAUAAAAAAAUUAUCAUGUGAAGCAUGAUUUGAAGCAUAUAACGUUCUCUUCAAUUCAUGAGUUUUGAAUGUCUGAUUGGUAUUUUCCAUCUCAUGUUUGACAAAAACAAACUGCUUACAAAGAAAUAUGGUCUAAAGUCUAUGAUAUUGUUGGAAAUAUCGAUCAAAUGUUGUUUACUGUGGAUUCAGUAUUAUUCGUUGGAUACCAAUUUUCAUUGGUUUCGUGUAAAAUAUCGAUCAAAUGUUGUUUACUAGUAAUUGGGUCUACACAAAUUUACCUUAAUGUGUGAUUCAUAGAAAUAAUGAAAUAAAUAUACAUGACUAUAGCCCAGUACGUCCAAGUAGGAACAUCAAUCAUAAAAAGGGGGAAUAAAUCGACAAAAAUGAAAAAAAAACAUUAUGACUUCGAUCAUCUCUACGACAGACUAUUAAGUUUUCCAUACAAGAGUUUUAUCAUUGAGAGAGAAAUUAGAGUACAAAUAAAAUAACACCAGGAUAAUAAUCACUUUCCGUUUUCAAUUUUCCACGGAUUUCAAUAUUUUUGUGAUUUUAGUUUUGAAAGCCAAUUUAAUGAAGUAAGAAAGAUAGUUCGGAUUAAAAGUGUAUUCAUGCGGUAUCUACAAACUUUUAAAAAUAAACCACUUCAAACCAUUUCCAAUAAACUCAUCAUAGAUAUCAGCACUAAAUACAUGUAUGCCAGAUGCUAGUUUCGUCUUCAAAAGACUCAUUAUUGACGCUCAUAUAAAAUAAGUGAAAUUUCAAAAGGUAUUUUCAAAUACGGCUAAGGUAAGUAUGUUGGUAUUAUUGAUAAAUGUGUUUUUAAUUUAAACUACAUAUAUUCAAUGUCUUUUAAAUGCCAAUGAUUGAGAACACUUUGAAACACAUUUUGCAAGUCGACCAAAAAAUUCAAUCUACAUACGUAUAAUACUUCUAGAGUAAUCGAGUUGUGCAUAACUUCUUUUUUUAAUGCAUACGAGUAAGUCAAGUGGUAAAGUAAUAAUUUCAUUGACGUAUUACUGUAAAUGUUUUGAUAAAAUCCUCGCAUAUAAUAUAUACUUUGUUUUUUUCAUAUAAAAUACACGCGUGCCGUAUACAUUUAAGAAAUUAAUUGUAUGAAACAUAUCAAUGAUACGAUAUUUUUUUGUUGUUUAGGACGGUCAUGUCAAGACAAGUUUUAUCAUGGUCUAUUAUCAGCUGGACUUAUCCUUAUAUCAUUUUUAUUGGUUAUAUGCAGUGCUUGUUUCAACCGUAAGUGUCGAACCAAGACAUUAGAUCAAAGAUAGAAAGAUAAGUCAACCAGUUAUAUACAACACAACAAGAUUGAUAAAGAAAUGUGCAAGGAAAGGACAAAAAUUACAAUAACUAAAACUCCUAUAUGUUAUAUAUUUUUGACAUGCAAAUUUCUCAAAUCAAUUUGGGAUCAAAUGAAACUUAGAAUAUGAGAUCAUAUAUUAUCACUUAGAUCACUUUUUUAUGGAUACAUGAUAAACGAUACAAAUUAUUAUAGUAUUUUUGAUUUACUAACAAUGAUAUAUUUUACGGUAUUUACAAAGGAUAUAAAAUAUACGAGCAAAAAACAAUGAUUUCAAACUUUUCAAAUGGAAUUUCUUCAACAUAACGAGAUAUUAAGAAAUAAAAAAGGCAAACGUGAAAACUAGGAUUAAUAAAAUAUCAUAUUAUCUUAUUUUUAUUCAGUUGCAUAUCAUUGUGAGCUAACUUUUAUUAUAUAUAUUGAACACUAACAAGUCCUAAUGUCUCACCACUGAUAUGAUAUGAACUAACGUUAACAAGGCCGGGAUAAGGUACCGGUACUUUAUGUAUCUCUAACAAAUAUAAAGUUCAAAUAAAAUUAUAUAUCAUUAAAUAAAGAAAAAGAAAGGCAAGGACAUUACAGCUCUAAUCAAGGAGCAAUUUUCUACGAAAUAGUCCAUGUUUAUGUAUGUCGGCGUUUGUUUUGUCGCAUUUCAGUGUUCUGUUGUUCCAAUGUUUUUCUCUUAUAGUUGAUUUGUUUCCUCGGUUUUAGUUUUAGUUUUUCAAGUAGGAUUUGUUUUCGAGUAUGCGAUUGAUGACUAUUGAACAGGAGUAUGCUUCUGCUGCCUUUAUCUAUGUGUGAAUCCAUCGAGGAAAACUAAAUGACACAUUGUAAUAAUCCUGAUCAGAAUGCUAUAAAAAUAUCGAAAGUUCAGGUCUAACAAUACGUCCUUAUUUUGUUAUCUAAAACAAUUUUCUAACAAAUAAAU
Molecule: long non-coding RNA, 5158 nt
Filed under: Mytilus galloprovincialis (Mediterranean mussel)
Lineage: Eukaryota; Metazoa; Mollusca; Bivalvia; Mytilida; Mytilidae
Source: RNAcentral